This 232-nucleotide unclassified non-coding RNA is filed under the name rhizosphere metagenome. RNAcentral describes it as "partial ribosomal RNA internal transcribed spacer region". The record is from RNAcentral.
GUAGGUGAACCUGCGGAAGGAUCAUUACCGAGAGCCAGGUCCUCUGGGCCUGAACCUCCCAACCCUUUGCUUACUACCUCUGUUGCUUUGGCAAGCCGGGGGCCUGUUCAAGGCUCUUGCCAGUAUCUCUCUGGUGCAUGCUUGCCGGAAGCCCCUUAGAACCCAGUUAAAAACGACGCAUUCAGGGAACGAUAAAUAGUUAAAACUUUCAACAACGGAUCUCUUGGUUCUG